UCCUGUAGAUUUAAGUUUCAAAAUUCAAGCUGUUACUUUCAGUAUUUCUUGUGUACCAUCGAUUAUCUCGACCAGCUUCGGUGCUGUUAUUAUUUGCUUGUGUAUACGGAGUCGAGUGUUCGGUCGCUCCGUUCUCUAUCACGCGCUAACAGCGGGGACAACUCGGCGGGAAGAUCGUGACAAAAUAUUGAGAUUCUUCUCCUAAGACGCUGGCCACGGUCAUCUUGUUAGACCAGUCAGCCAAUUAGACGAUUUCCCGCGGAAAGAUCUUUCCCCCGAAUUGUUCCCGUCGAUCGGUCGCUCUGCCGAAGAUCUCGCCGCUCAACCAGACUCUCAGAGUGAUUCGACCGAGAACGAUCGCCGUUAAAAUCGCGCCGCAACCGUGAGAUUGAAAACUGAUAGAUUACUGACCGACGCUGGUCGGAACUUGUGUGUGAAAGCUGCAGACAAAUUUGUUAACGCCAGUGAGACAAUUUGACAAAUAAAGGUGUUUCGCGAAAUUUGGGCAGCGGACCUAUUGAGUCUUUCUUUCAAUCUCCGUCCUCGCGCCUUUAAAUCCCGCACGCUCGCGGAGCAGCUGAUCGCGGUCGAUCCUCGUCGCGCCUCUCGGCUCACUCGAACGCUGUCGCGCUCAGCGGCAGGACAACGGCAAGCUGCGCAUUACUUAAAUUACGCGUCUCACUCGCGCUCACUCGAGCUCGCCCGGCAAACUCAAGUUCGCGCACGUUAUCUCGGCAACGUGCAGUCGCGAACAAAAUAGUUUAUUUAAAAAAAUGUUCAAUUGUGUUCCUUGUAAAUUCCGCUCUCUGCCGAACCUAGAGUCACGAAACGAGGACGUGGCGGUUGUUGACUCCGUAUUUUUUUUUUUUUUAAUUUUCAAUUUUUUAAAAAAUAUUUUUAUUAUUUUUUUUGUAUAUGAUCAGUUAUUGAUCAACAGCUAAAAAGUUUUUUUUAUAGGAUUUUCUAGAGUGUGGUUUACGAUAUUCCCGCUGAAGGUUCCAGCAGUAAUCAGUCAUCAUGUGGAUAUCCCACCUUUUCUAAUAUCUGUCUUCUAUAGUUUUUAUAUCUUGAUAGAAUCUUUUUUCUUGUUCAUCGCUAAAAUCACCAAAGUUUUGUGAAAAGCGAUCUAAGUGGCUGUGUAGGUAAUGAAUUUUAAUGCUCAUGUGACAGCCAAGUUUAUUAAAAUUAGUGAGCAUAUUGUCUACCAAUUUACCAUAAUUAUCUGCUUUAUUAUUGCCAAGAAAGUGUUUGACAACUAAAACAAAUGAAGACCAGGCACGAGAUUUAAUUUUGUUCAUUGAAUAUGUAAAAUGUGGAUCUUUUAUAAGUUGUCUUAUCUGGGGACCAUCAAAAAUACCUGCUUUUAAUUUUUCCAAGCUCAGUGCCAAGAAAUUUGCUUAUUAAGUAGUUAAAGCAUAAAGCACUGUCUUUGUUCAAAGUUUUUACAAAUUGUUUCAUCAGACCUAGCUUUAUAUGUAAUAGUGGCAGGAUGAUUGUUUUUCUGUCAACCAACGAUUUUUUAACAACAUUGUGUUUUCCAACUCCCAUGUUCUUUCUUAAAGGCCAUUUUUUUCUGCCCCAGUGAUCAUGUUCGCUCUGCUAUCCCAAAGACAUAAAAAGCACGGACAUUUUGUAUAGCCACUUUGCUGACCAAGGAGAAAGUUCCCCAUUUUUAGGUCUACACAAACAACCCACUAAUGUUUUGAGUAUUUUAUCUUUUCUAAUGCUAGAAAAAUUGAUUCAUACUCUUCUUUCAUUUUUGCAGAAUGACCAAUUGGAAUGGAACCAUAUCUGUUGCCGUUAUGUAAUAAAAUACAUUUUAGACUUUGCUUGGAGCUAUCAAUAAAAAGACGCCAAUCGUUUGGAUUGUACUCUAUUACCCCUAAUUUGUUUAAAACACCUUUUAUAUCAUUGCAAAACACUAGGCUCUGUUUAUAAGAGAAGAAUGGCAAAAAAUCCUUUUCUCUGAAUGUAUUCAGCACAAAUGUAGCAAAAGACAUUUGGAUUAUGCAAGCAGCUUUUUCAUGAGAAAGCCAUGACUUUACUUAAUAUACCAAAAUUGAGUACUUUCUAAAUUUUAUAGAAUAAAAUAUCAAAAUUUUUAGAAUAAAAUUGAGCCUCUGAUGUAUCACUCUUAUUAAAAUAAUAAAUCACUCGAAAAUUGCACAGACUCAAUUUUCAUUAUUUUAGAGUAACAUUUGUCUGUAAGAAAUUUAGAAAGUAUACUAUAUAAUUUAUGUAUAUAACCAAUAGAUUUAGAAAAUCGCGGCAGUAUAUGUACCAAAAAGUGAUGUACUUUUUUCAAAUAACAUAUUAUCUCGCGCUCCUUAUAUCCAGUGGUUGCGACAUUUGACUUACGAGAACGCCACUCUCUAGUGGCGUGCAGUCGCAAUUACUUUUAAUUCCGCGUGAUGGAUUAAAAUAGAAUUUAAAAAAUUUCUGACACUUUAAUUGGAUAGAAAUUGAUUUAAAAAAUCAGAAUUUUUAUUCGGCAUAGAUCAAAAGAUCCAUUUCUAAUUUAUUUCAAUCCAUUUCCAAAUGCUGAGAAACAGAUCUAAAAUAUGUUUACAAUAUAAAAUCUAUAUAUGACAAAAUCAAAUUUGCAAUGUAUAAGCUAGAUUGUACUCAAAACAAUAUACAAUAUUUAUGGAACCUGUUGCAAUAAUAUACAAAAUUAAAAAUGUAAGAAAAAUUUAAUAUAUAUAAUAAUAUUUAAAAAGUGAAAGAAAUUAAAUACGAAAUAAACAAUUGCCACGUUUUUGUUUUGUGACUCCGAGUUUGAUAAAGAGCGAGAUUUAUGAGCAAUACAAUUGAGAAAACUGUUUAAUAAAUUGUUUUUACAUUAACUUGUCAAUUUUCUGUAAGUCAACUAUGUAUUUUUCAUGAUUCAGAUUUGCUAUAUUAGAUUCUUUAUUUCCAACUUUAAUUUAAACAAUUAGGAGAAAUUUUAAGAUAUCGGAUUUGUUUGGAUUUGUGUCCAUGCUUUCAAAGUCGCUAACUUAAAAAUAUUAUAAAAAUAUAAAAUUUGUUCGGUUCUUAAAGCAUUUUUUGUAACAUUUUUGCAAUAUUCUUUAUAUUUUUUUAUAAACUGAUAUUAUAUUCAGAUUCAGUGAUCUUAAAAACCCUAUAUUACAAUUUUAUGGAAAUUAAACUAUGUUUUAUUAGCUUUCUCAUCCGCCAUAUUAGACACGCCAUUUUUAAUUUUUAAAUGGGAUACAGAACUUCAAGAAUACAUAUUUUUAUUUUAAUUUUAUGAGCUAAUUUAUUUAUUUUACCCUUAACCACCUUCGGCGGCAGAGCGACCCGUUUCACACGAAGAGACCCGCGCGCAGCGGCAUGUCGUUUUAAAUUCAAUAACUUCUUAACAAAUGGUCGGAAAUUAAUUUUUCAAAAAAAGAUUUAAACUAGAAACAUACAGCUAUAAACCCUAAAUAGUCAUAUAUUUUUUAAGAUUUUUUUGGCCGAGGAAAUUGGUUUUUUUAUUCGAAAUUUUGCUGUUUUUCCAUUUUUUUCACAAUAUUAUUCAAGUUUUUGCUUUGUGGCUUGCAUAUUAAUAUUCUUUUGGUAUCAUUAAAAUAAUAUUAGUAUUGCGGGAGACUUUCUGAGUAAAAAUGCCGUAUUGUAAACUCCGAUAUAAUUUUUUUUUCUACUACUAAAAAGUUACAAGGUAUAAAAGUUUUUAAAAAAGAUUAUUUAACGGUUAUUUAAAAAACAAGAGCUGAUGGGUAAAAACGAAUUUCUGAUUCGUUUUCAGCGACCCAAAAUCCUUUAGAAUCAACCUUCAAAAUGGCGGUACCAAAAUGUGUGUUGGCCAGUGUUAUAAUUAUUUGAGUAAUAUUGUAAUAAUCGAAUAAUAUUAUUUAAAUUAUAUGCUUAGAUUAUGAACUAUCAAAUAUGUAACAUUCGUAAUUAAUCAUCUCUUUUAUUUACAACCCAA
Long non-coding RNA from Solenopsis invicta (red fire ant), 3937 nucleotides. RefSeq lists it as uncharacterized. Lineage: Eukaryota; Metazoa; Arthropoda; Insecta; Hymenoptera; Formicidae. The record is from RefSeq and is a predicted model, not a curated record. The transcript has 2 exons.